This 501-nucleotide ribosomal RNA is filed under the name uncultured bacterium. RNAcentral's name for it is "partial 16S ribosomal RNA". It matches the Rfam family "Bacterial small subunit ribosomal RNA", at positions 30 to 523 of the family's 1533-position model. The record is from RNAcentral.
AUUGAACGCUGGCGUCAGGCUUAACACAUGCAAGUCGAGCGGGGGAAGGUAGCUUGCUACCGGACCUAGCGGCGGACGGGUGCGUAAUGCUUAGGAUUCUGCCUAUUAGUGGGGGACAACAUCUCGAAAGGGAUGCUAAUACAGCGUACGUCCUACGGGAGAAAGCAGGAGAUCUUCGGACCGUGCGCUACUAGAUGAGCCUAAGUCUGAUUAGCUAGUUGGUGGGGUAAAGGCCUACCAAGGCGACGAUCUGUAGCGGGUCUGAGAGGGUGGUGCGCCACACUGGGUCGUAGAAACGGCUCAGGCUCCUACGGUAGGCAGCAGUUGGGUAUAUUAGACAAUGGGGGGAACCCUGAUCCAGCCAUGCCGCGUGUGUGAAGAAGGCCUUAUGGUUGUAAAGCACUGUAAGCGAGGAGGAGGCUACUCUAGUUAAUACCUAGGGAUAGUGGACGUUACUCGCAGAAUAAGCACCGGCUAACUCUGUGCCAGCCGCCGCAGUAA